This 380-nucleotide ribosomal RNA is filed under the name uncultured bacterium. RNAcentral's name for it is "bacterial SSU rRNA". It matches the Rfam family "Bacterial small subunit ribosomal RNA", at positions 28 to 402 of the family's 1533-position model. The record is from RNAcentral.
GACGAACGCUGGCGGCGUGCUUAACACAUGCAAGUGGGGCGACGAACCAGGCUUCGGCCUGGGGCAAAGCCGCGAACGGGUGAGUAACACGUGGGUAACCUGCCCCGAAGACUGGGACGAACCCGGGAAACCCGGGCUAAUACCGGAUGUGGUCAUCGUUCACAAGGACGAUGAGCAAAGGAAGCUUCGGCCUCCGCUUCGGGAUGGGCCCGCGGCCCAUUAGCUUGUUGGUGAGGUAACGGCUCACCAAGGCUCGAUGGGUAGCUGGUCUGAGAGGACGAUCAGCCACACUGGGACUGAGACACGGCCCAGACUCCUACGGGAGGCAGCAGUGGGGAAUCUUGCGCAAUGCGCGAAAGCGUGACGCAGCAACGCCGCGU